Molecule: unclassified non-coding RNA, 275 nt
Filed under: uncultured fungus
Lineage: Eukaryota; Fungi
Description: sequence contains ITS1, 5.8S rRNA gene
Rfam family: 5.8S ribosomal RNA (bases 227-275)
Source: RNAcentral
UCUCCGUUGGUGAACCAGCGGAGGGAUCAUUAUAGAGUUUUCAAAACUCCCAAACCCAUGUGAACUUACCUAUGUUGCCUCGGCGGAGCCUACCCUGUAGCUACCCUAUAGCGGCUUACCCUGUAAGGGGUUACCCUGUAAGGCAGUUACCCUGUAGCGGUCCGCCGGUGGAAUUCUAAACUCUUGUUAUUUCAGUGAAUCUGAGCGUCUUAUUUUAAUAAGUCAAAACUUUCAACAACGGAUCUCUUGGUUCUGGCAUCGAUGAAGAACGCAGC